UGAGAACAGUCCAACAGUCUGCUCUGGAACCCUUCGUAGCUAUCCUCGAACAACACCUCUAGAUUCCGGAAUGCGUCGCAUAGCAUCACCACCUCUUUGUCGCCGACUUCUUUCAUCUUCCUUACCUUACUGUUGUCGUCGCUGUUUUUGAUGUGCAUGCUCUCUUGUAACUCCUCCAGUUUCUUCUUACGAGCUUCGUCUUUCUCUUUGUACUCAGAUUUUGUCACCUUCAGCUUCUGGUUCGUCAGACGGAUCUGGACUUCCAGACUUAUCACUGUGUCCUGUAGCCUCUUCACCUCGCUCUCGGAGGCUUCU
RNAcentral lists this long non-coding RNA (315 nucleotides) under Zostera marina. RNAcentral's name for it is "long non-coding RNA (ZMAR_LNC001795)". Lineage: Eukaryota; Viridiplantae; Streptophyta; Magnoliopsida; Alismatales; Zosteraceae. The record is from RNAcentral.